Long non-coding RNA from Cyanistes caeruleus (blue tit), 3209 nucleotides. NCBI's taxonomy places the organism in Eukaryota, Metazoa, Chordata, Aves, Passeriformes, Paridae. The record is from Ensembl.
ACUGGGAGGGACUGGGAGGGACUGGGGACAGGGACUGGGAGAGACGGGGAGGGACUGGGAGGGACUGGGGAGAUCCUGAAUGAGCCUGAACGAGACUGGGGAUCCUGGGGAGAUCCUGACUGGGGACACUCAAAGAUCCCGGGGAUCCUGAAUGAGCCUGAAGGAGUCUGGGGAUCCCAGGGAUCCUGGGGAGACCCUGACUGGGGAGAAUGAGGGAUCCCAGGAGAUCCUGGGGAUCCUGACGGGGGAGACUGAGAGAUCCCAACUGGUCCUGGGGAUCCCAACCGAGCCUGGGGAGCCUGCACAAACCUGGGGAUCCCAACAGAUCCCGGGGAUCCCGACCGAUCCCGGGGAGCCCGAGGGGAAGGACGGAGCCCCCCUGGAGAUGGGGAAGAGCAGAGAUCCCAAAGGAUCCCAGAGGAUCCCAGAGGAUCCCAGAGGAUCCCAGCAGGCUCCGGCCAAUCCCGAGGGGAUCCCGAGGCGGGAGGGGAAGGGAAACCCCCCGGAAAACCCCGGGGAUCCCCCUGGAAUUCAGGGAUCCGCAGGGAGAGCGGAGAUCCCCAGGGAUCCCAAAGGAUCCCGGGGCAAAGGGACCCUGGGAGGGCGGAGAUCCACAGGGAUCCGCAGGGAAAAGUGGGGAAAAGUGGGGAAAAUGGGGAAAAAUGGGGAAAAGUGGGGAAAAUGGGGAAAAAGUGGGAAAAAAUGGGGAAAAAUGGGAAAAGUGGGGAAAAAAUGGGAAAAAAUGGGAAAAAAGUGGGGAAAAGUGGGAAAAAGUGGGGAAAAAGUGGGAAAAAGUGGGAAAAAUGGGGAAAAGUGGCAAAAAGUGGGGAUAAAGUGGGAAAAAGUGGGGAAAAAGUGGGGAAAAAAGUGGGAAAAAGUGGGAAAAAGUUGGAGAAAAUGGGGAAAAGUGGGGGGAAAGUGGGGGAAAGUGGGGAAAAAGUGGAAAAAAAGUGGGAAAAAAGUGGGAAAAAAGUGGGAAAAAGUGGGGAAAAAGUGGGGAAAAGUGGGAAAAGUGGGAAAAAGUGGGAAAAAGUGGGGAAAAGUGGGGAAAAAGUGGGAAAAAGUGGGAAAAAGUGGGAAAAAGUGGGAAAAGUGGGGAAAAAGUGGGGAAAAAGUGGGGAAAAGUGGGGAAAAAUGGGGAAAAGUGGGGAAAAAGUGGGGAAAAAGUGGGGAAAAAGUGGGAAAAAGUGGGAAAAAGUGGGAAAAAGUGGGAAAAAAGUGGGGAAAAGUGGGAAAAAGUGGGAAAAAGUGGGAAAAAGUGGGAAAAAGUGGGAAAAAUGGGGAAAAGUGGGGAAAAAGUGGGGAAAAAUGGGGAAAAAGUGGGAAAAAAUGGGGGAAAAAGUGGGAAAAAUUGGGAAAAAAGUGGGGAAAAGUGGGGAAAAAUGGGGAAAAGUGGGGAAAAUUGGGAAUGGGGGAGGGGUUCAGGCGGAGAGAGGAUCCAUGGGGGGGGAGGGGAGGGAAAAACGAGGAUUUGGGAGGAGAAAAAAGAGCAGGAAAAGCGAAUUCCGGGGAUUUAUCCCCAAAAAAUCCGGGCGGGAAAUGAGGAUUUAGGGAGGAUUCCCCCAAAAAAUGGGAGGGGAAGGAGCUUCGGGAAUUUUCCCUGGGAAAAAAAUGGGGAUUUGAGGGAUUUUCCCUUAAAAAGAAGAGGAAAAAAAAGGUUUAGGGAGAGUUUUCCUUAAAAGGAGGGAGAAAAAAAAGGAGCUGAAGGAAUUUUUUCCAUAAAUCCGAGCCAAAAGCGAAGUUUCAGGGAUGAGUUGUCGUGAAAAAAAGGGGGAAAAGGAGAUUCCUGGGAUUUUUUUUCCUGUCAAAAUAAGGAGAAAAAUGAAAUUUUUAGGGAUUUUCCCAGGAAAUCGAGGGAAAAAAAAGAGUUUGGGGUUUUUUUUUUUUGUAAAAAUGAGGAGAAAAACAAAUUUUGGGGCUUUUUUUAUCCGUAAAAUCCAGGCCAGAAAUGAAAAUUUUGGGGUUUUUUCAUAAAAUCCAACCCCAAACAUGAAAUUUUUUGGGAUUUCCCGCCGGAAAAACAGCGGGAAAAGGGAAUUUUGGAGGAUUUUUCCCAGAAAAACAAACCGAGGAAUCCCAAAAUUCCCGGCGUUUCUCUCCCAAACAAACGGAAACCCGGAACUCCCGGGAUUUCCUCCUCCCCCAUCCCACAAAAUUCCCUUUUCCCUCUUUUCCCAACCCCUCCCAGGGGGGAUUUCCGCUUCUUCCCGGCUUUUCCCAACCCCUCCCAGGGGGGAUUUCCGCUUCUUCCCGGGGGAAAAUUCCCAUUUUUCCCUUAAAAUCCCCAUUUUCCCCCUUAAAAUCCCCAUUUUUCCCCUUUAAAUCCCCAUUUUUCCCCUUAAAAUUCCCAUUUCUCUGCUUUAAAUCCCCAUUUUCCCCCUUAAAAUCCCAUUUUUCCCCUUAAAAUCCCAUUUUCCCCCCUUAAAUUCCCAUUUUUCCCCUUAAAAUCCCAUUUUCCCCCUUAAAUUCCCAUUUUCCCCCUUAAAUUCCCAUUUUCCCCCUUAAAAUCCCAUUUUUCCCCUUUAAAUUCCCAUUUUUCCCCCUUAAAUUCCCACUUUUCCGCCUUAAAUCCCCAUUUUUCCCCUUAAAUCCCCAUUUUCCCCCCUUAAAUCCCCAUUUUCCCCCCUUAAAUUCCCAUUUUCCCGCCCGGAAUCCCCAUUUUCCCGCCAGGAAUCCCCAUUUUCCCGCCAGGAAUCCCCAUUUUCCCGCCCGGAAUCCCCAUUUUCCCGCCCGGAAUCCCCAUUUUCCCGCCAGGAAUCCCCAUUUUCCCGCCCGGAAUCCCCAUUUUCCCGCCCGGAAUUCCCAUUUUCCCGCCCGGAAUCCCCAUUUUCCCGCCCGGAAUUCCCAUUUUUUCCCGCCCGGAGCCGCUCCCGGGGUUUUUUCCCGACCUUUUCCCGCCGAUCCCGGUUUUUUUUCCAGGGAUUUUUUCUCCCGGAGGAGCCGCGGGCUCCGAGCGGGGCCGCGCCUCAAAAGCCGUCCGGGGGGGGUUCAUUUGCAUAAAUUUGCAUGGAUUACCAUAAAUUUGCGUGCCGCGGAGCCGCGCCAUAAAAGAGCAGCGGGGGGUUAUUAAGGGUUAAUGAAUUAAUUAAGGGGGCGGGAAUUAAUGAAGGCGGAAAUGGGCGGGGGGAUAAUUAAAGGGAGAGGUGAGUGAUAAUGAAAAUGAAAUGAAAUGGAAUAAAAUGAAAUGAAAUGAAAUGAAAUUAAAUAAA